CCCCUGGUGGUGGAAUUGGUAGACGCGGUAGACUCAAAAUCUAUUGCCUGUAUAGGCAUGAGAGUUCGACUCUCUCCUAGGGGA
RNAcentral lists this transfer RNA (84 nucleotides) under Holospora obtusa F1. It matches the Rfam family "tRNA". From Rfam's summary of the family: Transfer RNA (tRNA) molecules are approximately 80 nucleotides in length. Their secondary structure includes four short double-helical elements and three loops (D, anti-codon, and T loops). Lineage: Bacteria; Pseudomonadati; Pseudomonadota; Alphaproteobacteria; Holosporales; Holosporaceae. The record is from Rfam by way of RNAcentral.